CAAACUCCUACGGGAGGCUGCAGUAGGGAAUCUUCCACAAUGGGCGAAAGCCUGAUGGAGCAACGCCGCGUGUGUGAUGAAGGCUUUCGGGUCGUAAAGCACUGUUGUAUGGGAAGAACAGCUAGAAUAGGGAAUGAUUUUAGUUUGACGGUACCAUACCAGAAAGGGACGGCUAAAUACGUGCCAGCAGCCGCGGUAAUACGUAUGUCCCGAGCGUUAUCCGGAUUUAUUGGGCGUAAAGCGAGCGCAGACGGUUGAUUAAGUCUGAUGUGAAAGCCCGGAGCUCAACUCCGGAAUGGCAUUGGAAACUGGUUAACUUGAGUGCAGUAGAGGUAAGUGGAACUCCAUGUGUAGCGGUGGAAUGCGUAGAUAUAUGGAAGAACACCAGUGGCGAAGGCGGCUUACUGGACUGUAACUGACGUUGAGGCUCGAAAGUGUGGGUAGCAAACAGGAUUAGAUACCCUGGUAGUCCACACCGUAAACGAUGAACACUAGGUGUUAGGAGGUUUCCGCCUCUUAGUGCCGAAGCUAACGCAUUAAGUGUUCCGCCUGGGGAGUACGACCGCAAGGUUGAAACUCAAAGGAAUUGACGGGGACCCGCACAAGCGGUGGAGCAUGUGGUUUAAUUCGAAGCAACGCGAAGAACCUUACCAGGUCUUGACAUCCUUUGAAGCUUUUAGAGAUAGAAGUGUUCUCUUCGGAGACAAAGUGACAGGUGGUGCAUGGUCGUCGUCAGCUCGUGUCGUGAGAUGUUGGGUUAAGUCCCGCAACGAGCGCAACCCUUAUUGUUAGUUGCCAGCAUUCAGAUGGGCACUCUAGCGAGACUGCCGGUGACAAACCGGAGGAAGGCGGGGACGACGUCAGAUCAUCAUGCCCCUUAUGACCUGGGCUACACACGUGCUACAAUGGCGUAUACAACGAGUUGCCAACCCGCGAGGGUGAGCUAAUCUCUUAAAGUACGUCUCAGUUCGGAUUGUAGUCUGCAACUCGACUACAUGAAGUCGGAAUCGCUAGUAAUCGCGGAUCAGCACGCCGCGGUGAAUACGUUCCCGGGUCUUGUACACACCGCCCGUCACACC
Molecule: ribosomal RNA, 1079 nt
Filed under: Leuconostoc pseudomesenteroides
Lineage: Bacteria; Bacillati; Bacillota; Bacilli; Lactobacillales; Lactobacillaceae
Description: bacterial SSU rRNA
Rfam family: Bacterial small subunit ribosomal RNA
Source: RNAcentral